This 1397-nucleotide long non-coding RNA is filed under the name Phasianus colchicus (ring-necked pheasant). Its description in RNAcentral is "lncRNA (ENSPCLG00000018173.1)". The record is from RNAcentral. Lineage: Eukaryota; Metazoa; Chordata; Aves; Galliformes; Phasianidae.
UUUGCAUUUCUUCAGCAGUGCUGCUUUCGUCACCGUCCGGAGGGAUAAGAAAGUGUGGGUCAACGGGAUCCCAUCCACCCUCCCAGCUCAAAUCUCGGACCACCUCUCCAUCCGCGAAUCCCAAAACCUCAUUUCCAUCACCCAAACCCCCCACCUGGAGGUGACCCUCAGCCCCACGGGGGAGGUGACGGUGACGGUGAAGAAGGAGCUGAGCAAGGAGUUGUGUGGGGUCUGCGGGAAUUACGACGGCGACGCAGCCAACGACCUCCGGGAUCCCGAUGGGAAAUUGGUGACGGAUUUCGUGGCCAUGAUGAAGGCCUGGAGAGCACCCGACUUCACCCCUGUGAGUGUCCACAGUAGGGGGGGUCAUCUGGUUUUGGAGGGGGAUUUGGGGUGAUAUUUGUGUUUCUUUUGGGGUGGAGGUCGUUGUUGUUCCUAUAGGGCUGCCAUCUUGGGGAAGCGUCCAUCCAUUGGUUCCGUCCCUUUCUAUCAACUCAAAAUCUUGAUUCUACUAAAUUUGUGGGGGAAAAGAGUAGGAUUUGGGGUGAUAUUUGUGUUUCUUUUGGGGUGGAGGGGGAUGUGGAUGGAGGGGGAUGUGGUCCCAUCUUGGUUGUCCCUAUAGGGUCUGGUUGUCCCUAUAGGGCCGCCGUGUUGAGGAAGCAUCCAUCCAUUGGUUCCAUCCCUUUGUAUUGACCCAAAACCUUUACUCUCCUAAAUUUGUGGGAGAAAAGAGUAGGAUUUGGGGUGAUAUUUGUGUUUCUUUUGGGGUGGAGGUCGUUGUUGUUCCUAUAGGGCUGCCAUCUUGGGGAAGCAUCCAUCCAUUGGUUCCAUCCCUUUCUAUCGACUCAAAAUCUUGAUUGUACUAAAUUUGUGGGGGAAAAGAGUAGGAUUUGGGGUGAUAUUUGUGUUUCUUUUGGGAUGGAGGGGGAUGUGGAUGGAGGGGGAUGUGGUCCCAUCUUGGUUGUCCCUAUAGGGUCUGGUUAUCCCUUAUAGGGCCGCUAUGUUGGGGUGGUGUCCAUUCAUUGGUUCCAUCCCUUCAUAUUGACCCAAAAUCUUGAUUCUACUAAACUUGUGGGAGAAAAUAGUAGGAUUUGGGGUGAUAUUUGUGUUUCUUUUGGGGUGGAGGUGGUUGUUGUUCCUAUAGGGCUGCCAUCUUGGGGUGGUGUCCGUCCAUUGGUUCCAUCCCUUCAUAUUGACCCAAAACCUUGAUUCUACUAAAUUUGUGGGAGAAAAGAGUAGGAUUUGGGGUGAUAUUUGUGUUUCUUUUGGGAUGGAGGUCGUUGUUGUUCCUAUAGGGCUGCCAUCUUGGGGAAGCGUCCGUCCAUUGGUUCCAUCCCUUCGUAUUGACCCAAAAUCUUGAAUCUACUAAAUUUGUGUGAGAAAAGAGUAGGAUUUGG